Molecule: ribosomal RNA, 301 nt
Filed under: uncultured bacterium
Lineage: Bacteria
Description: partial 16S ribosomal RNA
Rfam family: Bacterial small subunit ribosomal RNA
Source: RNAcentral
CAGUCGCCGCGGGAAUACGUAGGGUGCGAGCGUUAAUCGGAAUUACUGGGCGUAAAGCGUGCGCAGGCGGUUCGUUAAGACAGAUGUGAAAUCCCCGGGCUUAACCUGGGAACUGCAUUUGUGACUGGCGAGCUAGAGUAUGGCAGAGGGGGGUAGAAUUCCACGUGUAGCAGUGAAAUGCGUAGAGAUGUGGAGGAAUACCGAUGGCGAAGGCAGCCCCCUGGGCCAAUACUGACGCUCAUGCACGAAAGCGUGGGGAGCAAACAGGAUUAGAUACCCGCGUAGUCCCUGUCUCUUAUAC